CCCUUAGAUGUUCUGGGCCGCACGCGCGCUACACUGACGGAGGCAGCGAGCGUGUCCUUCGCCGGCAGGUGCGGGCAAUCUUGCGAGUCUCCGUCGUGCUGGGGAUAGAUGGUUGCAAUUGUCGAUCUUGAACGAGGAAUUCCUAGUAAGCGCGAGUCAUCAGCUCGCGCUGAUUACGUCCCUGCCCUUUGUACACACCGCCCGUCGCUACUACAGAGUGCCCGUGUCCAAGAAACGGUCGGACCUGUGCGGCCUCUCCGGGCGACCGGGGGGCCGUUACGGGGAAGACCCUUUAUUUGACGCGGGUCGAUGAAGUAAAAGUCGUAACA
This 329-nucleotide ribosomal RNA is filed under the name uncultured eukaryote. Its description in RNAcentral is "partial 18S ribosomal RNA". It matches the Rfam family "Eukaryotic small subunit ribosomal RNA", at positions 1470 to 1796 of the family's 1831-position model. The record is from RNAcentral.